UAAUACAUGCAAGUCGAACGGUCUUUCUAUGGAAGCUUGCUUCCACUGAGAAGAUAGUGGCGAACGGGUGAGUAACACGUGGGUAACCUGCCCAUAAGAGGGGGGAUAACAUCCGGAAACGGGGUGCUAAUACCGCAUAGUUUUCUUGAUCGCAUGAUUGAGAAAGGAAAGACGGCCUUUGUGCUGUCGCUUAUGGAUGGACCCGCGGCGUAUUAGUUAGUUGGUGAGGUAACGGCUCACCAAGACGAUGAUACGUAGCCGACCUGAGAGGGUGAUCGGCCACAUUGGGACUGAGACACGGCCCAAACUCCUACGGGAGGCAGCAGUAGGGAAUCUUCCGCAAUGGACGAAAGUCUGACGGAGCAACGCCGCGUGAGUAGAAGUAAGGUUUUCGGAACCGUAAAACUCUGUUGUCAGAGAAGAACAAGUUGGAGAGUAACUGCUCCAGCCUUGACGGUAUCUGACCAGAAAGCCACGGCUAACUACGUGCCAGCCGCGGC
RNAcentral lists this ribosomal RNA (500 nucleotides) under uncultured bacterium. RNAcentral's name for it is "bacterial SSU rRNA". It matches the Rfam family "Bacterial small subunit ribosomal RNA", at positions 49 to 518 of the family's 1533-position model. The record is from RNAcentral.